Molecule: long non-coding RNA, 1292 nt
Filed under: Sorghum bicolor (sorghum)
Lineage: Eukaryota; Viridiplantae; Streptophyta; Magnoliopsida; Poales; Poaceae
Description: long non-coding RNA (SBIC_LNC011430)
Source: RNAcentral
ACGGGCGAAGAGAUCGAUGCAUGGUUCACUGCAACGGAGUGCAUGCAGUCCUGGAGUGUAGUACUGUUUCCAUGCCGCGGCACGGCACGGCACGGCUUCUUGCCGUGCGUGUGGGUCCCAUUUUUUGCAAAGGAAACAUAACUUUUUCCUGCUCAGAAAAUAAUAAAGUAGUGAAAGAAGAUUACUAGGUCUUGUUUAGUUUUAAAUUUUUUUUGAUUUUUGAUACUAUAGUAUUUUCGUUUUUAUUUGAUAAUUAUUGUAUAAUUAUGGACUAAUUAGGCUCAAAAGAUUUAUCUUAUGAUUUAUAGGCAAAUUGUGUAAUUAGUUUUUGUUUUCGUCUAUAUUUAAUACUCCAUGCAUGUGCCGCAAGAUUCGAUGUGACGGAGAAUCUUGAAAAUUUUUUAGUUUUUUUGGUGAACUAACAAAGCCUAGAGGAAAUGUGAGCAUCUAUGUAUGACGUAGAGGAAGUGAUUUUUUUUAAUAAAAGGAGGAAGUGAUAAUCAAAAUCUAUAGUGCAAUAAUCGGCAAUCUUCUUUGUGAUAAUGUGAUGUAAACUUGACUUUUUUGAAACCAAUGUGAUAUAAACUUGCAUGCGUUCAAUGUGACAAUGUCCGCGCAACUUGACGUUCCAAAAAAAAAACUAAAAUAAAAGCAAAUAAAAAAUGAACUUUAGAGAUGUAUUUUGCAUUUCCAUAUAUCCUACUCAAUCCAUCCCAAAUUAUAAGACGUUUGACUUUUUAAAACCAAGUUUGACCAUUCGUCUUAUUCAAAAAUUUGUGCACAAUUUUCACUUUUUUGUCGUGGCUUGAUUUAUUAAUAAAAAUUCUACAAGAAUAACUUAAAUUUGACUCAGUUUGCACAAUUUUUUUUGAAUAAAACAAGUGAUCAAGAUCAAAAAAGUCAAACGUCUUUAUAAUUUGGGAUGAACAACAUGAUGACCACUUGGCAAAGUCAAAUAGUAUAAAUGGCGGUGUAGCUGGAGUAAUUUCUCAAAUACACAUAUUUUGUCACGUAAUGCCUCAUCACGAGAGACCCAAUUUUUUUAAAAAAGAAAAAAAUGUGCCAUAUAUAUGUAGGAGUAUAUAUAUCUUUUUUUACCAAAUUCUAUUGUUCAGUGAACCCACACGUACACUCCAGGACACACAGAGAUGUCUGUUAUAUUAGCACGUACCGUCAUUCAAGUGCAGAAGAACUAAUUAACCAUGUAUAAUCAGGAGCAAACCUAUACCAAAUUGACAAAGGUACGGUGGGCAUGCACGUCCAUCAUCAAUGUGUUCAUUUGGAGUAAGGCC